This 480-nucleotide ribosomal RNA is filed under the name uncultured bacterium. RNAcentral describes it as "partial 16S ribosomal RNA". It matches the Rfam family "Bacterial small subunit ribosomal RNA", at positions 28 to 508 of the family's 1533-position model. The record is from RNAcentral.
GAUGAACGCUAGCGGGAGGCCUAACACAUGCAAGCCGAGCGGUAGAGUUUCUUCGGACACUUGAGAGCGGCGCACGGGUGCGUAACACGUGUGCAACCUACCUUUAUCUGGGGGAUAGCCUUUCGAAAGGAAGAUUAAUACCCCAUAAUAUAAUGAUUGGCAUCAAUUAUUAUUGAAAACUCCGGUGGAUAGAGAUGGGCACGCGCAAGAUUAGAUAGUUGGUGAGGUAACGGCUCACCAAGUCAAUGAUCUUUAGGGGUCCUGAGAGGGAGAUCCCCCACACUGGUACUGAGACACGGACCAGACUCCUACGGGAGGCAGCAGUGAGGAAUAUUGGACAAUGGGUGAGAGCCUGAUCCAGCCAUCCCGCGUGAAGGAUGACGGUCCUAUGGAUUGUAAACUUCUUUUGUACAGGGAUAAACCUACCCUCGUGAGGGUAGCUGAAGGUACUGUACGAAUAAGCACCGGCUAACUCCGUGC